This 492-nucleotide ribosomal RNA is filed under the name Megascolecidae sp. SC201735-03. Its description in RNAcentral is "partial large subunit ribosomal RNA". It matches the Rfam family "Bacterial large subunit ribosomal RNA", at positions 1813 to 2604 of the family's 2925-position model. Lineage: Eukaryota; Metazoa; Annelida; Clitellata; Crassiclitellata; Megascolecidae. The record is from RNAcentral.
ACAUUGUCUCAUGAACACAAUAUGAGAUAAUACCUGCCCAGUGACACAAUGUUCAACGGCCGCGGUAUCCUAACCGUGCAAAGGUAGCAUAAUCACUUGCCUAUUAAUUGUAGGCUAGAAUGAAGGGGUUUACGAAAUAAAAACUGUCUCAAUUAAUUAACUAAAAAUUACUCUCUACCUGAAGAAGGUGGAUAAUCUCGAAGGACAAGAAGACCCUAUAGAGCUUAAUUUUAAUUAUAGAACCACCCUAUAAAAAUAUUCGGUUGGGGCGACCCAGGGCUAAAUAAUCACCCACUAAAUAAAAGAUAUAUAAAUCAAAUAAGUGACCCUUUAAAGAUCAUAAAAACAAGCUACCUUAGGGAUAACAGGCUAAUCCCACUCAAGAGUCCUUAUCAACAGUGGGGUUUGGCACCUCGAUGUUGGCUUAGGGUAUCUAUAUAGCGCAAAAGUUAUAUAAAGAUGGUUUGUUCAACCAAUAAUACCCUACGUGAU